Molecule: long non-coding RNA, 1168 nt
Filed under: Capra hircus (goat)
Lineage: Eukaryota; Metazoa; Chordata; Mammalia; Artiodactyla; Bovidae
Description: lncRNA (ENSCHIG00010012632.1)
Source: RNAcentral
AGCAAUUAAGUAUAUAAGCUGACUUCAAAAUAAACACCCAUAAAUAUUUAUUUUAGAUACAAAAGGAACCAUUGGCUACAUAUCAUUCUGUAAUCUCAUGGAGUGGUAGUAAAUGAUGAAUGUUUCUCAAUGCCAAUGUAAACAGAACAUGAAUAUCCUUUUACAUAGUGUCAUAAGAUUCCCUUCCAUGAAAUGCAAUAAUUGAACUAACCCUCUAUUGAAAAAUAUUUAUUUCCUUUUUUGGCUAUUAGAAAUAAUGUUAAAAUUCUUGUAGAUAUAACUCAUCCCACGUGCCUUUGAUUUCCUUGUUAUAUAUACUUAGANNNNNNNNNNNNNNNNNNNNNNNAUAUGUGUAUUAAACUUAGAUACAUAUUACAAAACAGCCUCUAGAAAAAUUUUACUUAUCUGUCUUCCCACUACAGUGAAAAUAAGAUGUUCAAUUCAUGCUCACUGAUACGGGGUAUUUUCAAAACCAUUUUUCUCUUUUCUAAUCUGCUAACAAAGGCUUACAUUCACAGCCAGCAAAUACCAAAAAAAAAAAAAAAAAGACUUCCUGCUUUCAGCAAUCAUUUGGUAUGAUCCUAACACUUGUGCACAUAUCUAGGCGAUGAGACAGGCUGGGACCUGGGACCCUUCACAGAAGUGUUUGCACCUGGACAAAAGUCCCUUGCAGCAACAGAAUAUAAGGGACUAAAACUUACCUUACACAGGCCAGGUGCAGUUGGAGCAAAUUAUGAACAGUGAGAUUGAAAAAGGCCACAAACAACUGCUACUUCUGAGGCACUGAGAGCAGAAGCAGGGUACUGCCAUGAUCCCUGCACACAGCACCACUGAGGGGGUGGAGAGAGCAGGUAACGCCGCCCUCCAUCCUGACCCACCAAUCCUCGCCCACCCUCACACCUGACCCGGUCCCCUGCCCUGCACCCCCAGGAGCGAGCAAGGGUAUGGGUUACUGCUUUCCCAUGUGCUGCAGCAUGAGUCCCAGUAAAGCCCUGCAUGAAUUUCACCUGGCCUCUUAUCAAUUCUGUUGAACAAAGAGGCCGAAAACCCAGGUCAGUUACAGAAAGACAAACACUUUUAACCAAAGACAAUGUCCCCUAGUGAUAAUAAAUGAACACGGGGUAAUCUUUCACCCAUAAUUAUUUAGAGUGAUUCUGGGUGGGCAGGU